RNAcentral lists this ribosomal RNA (707 nucleotides) under uncultured bacterium. Its description in RNAcentral is "bacterial SSU rRNA". It matches the Rfam family "Bacterial small subunit ribosomal RNA", at positions 48 to 724 of the family's 1533-position model. The record is from RNAcentral.
CUAAUACAUGCAAGUCGAGCGCGGGAAGCAAACUGAAUCCUUCGGGAGGACGUUUGUGGAACGAGCGGCGGACGGGUGAGUAACACGUGGGCAACCUGCCUGUAAGACUGGGAUAACUCCGGGAAACCGGGGCUAAUACCGGAUGAUACUUCGUACCGCAUGGUACGGAGUUGAAAGAUGGUUUACGCUAUCACUUACAGAUGGGCCCGCGGCGCAUUAGCUAGUUGGUGGGGUAAUGGCUCACCAAGGCGACGAUGCGUAGCCGACCUGAGAGGGUGAUCGGCCACACUGGGACUGAGACACGGCCCAGACUCCUACGGGAGGCAGCAGUAGGGAAUCUUCCGCAAUGGACGCAAGUCUGACGGAGCAACGCCGCGUGAGUGAGGAAGGUCUUCGGAUCGUAAAACUCUGUUGUUAGGGAAGAACACGUACGAGAGUCACUGCUCGUACCUUGACGGUACCUAACCAGAAAGCCCCGGCUAACUACGUGCCAGCAGCCGCGGUAAUACGUAGGGGGCGAGCGUUGUCCGGAAUUAUUGGGCGUAAAGGGUGCGUAGGCGGUCUCUUAAGUCUGAUGUGAAAGCCCACGGCUUAACCGUGGAGGGUCAUUGGAAACUGGGAGACUUGAGUGCAGAAGAGGAGAGUGGAAUUCCAUGUGUAGCGGUGAAAUGCGUAGAGAUAUGGAGGAACACCAGUGGCGAAGGCGA